GGGCGGUAUGUGGGUGGGAAUUUUGAACAAAUUGUUUGAUAAGAAUCACAAGUUAACACAUCAAAUACUGAUGAUAAAAGGAAGUGACCUCAAUACACUUACACGUGAACUCGUACUGACCCGCAAGAUCAUUGACCAAUAAGAAAGAUGCAUUGGUCAUAAGUGAAAUUUCUCUGCACGUGAAAACAUGUUAUCUAAUUUCAACAAUGUAUCGUUUAAUUAAGUAGGACACUCUGACCCUUUGACCAGACUAGAGACAUCAUACAUUUACAGUAUUAAUAGCUCACUCUUUUAUUUAAGUCGGUUAGUAAUAACCAAUUAAAACAGAAUUAUCUU
Molecule: long non-coding RNA, 336 nt
Filed under: Mytilus galloprovincialis (Mediterranean mussel)
Lineage: Eukaryota; Metazoa; Mollusca; Bivalvia; Mytilida; Mytilidae
Source: RNAcentral